RNAcentral lists this ribosomal RNA (515 nucleotides) under uncultured bacterium. RNAcentral describes it as "partial 16S ribosomal RNA". It matches the Rfam family "Bacterial small subunit ribosomal RNA", at positions 28 to 523 of the family's 1533-position model. The record is from RNAcentral.
GAUGAACGCUGGCGGCGUGCCUAAUACAUGCAAGUCGAGCGAAUGGAUUAAGAGCUUGCUCUUAUGAAGUUAGCGGCGGACGGGUGAGUAACACGUGAGUAACCUGCCCAUAAGACUGGGAUAACUCCGGGAAACCGGGGCUAAUACCGGAUAACAUUUUGAACCGCAUGGUUCGAAAUUGAAAGGCGGCUUCGGCUGUCACUUAUGGAUGGACCCGCGUCGCAUUAGCUAGUUGGUGAGGUAACGGCUCACCAAGGCAACGACGCGUAGCCGACCUGAGAGGGUGAUCGGCCACACUGGGACUGAGACACGGCCCAGACUCCUACGGGAGGCAGCAGUAGGGAAUCUUCCGCAAUGGACGAAAGUCUGACGGAGCAACGCCGCGUGAGUGAUGAAGGCUUUCGGGUCGUAAAACUCCGUUGUUAGGGAAGAACAAGUGCUAGUUGAAUAAGCUGGCACCUUGACGGUACCUAACCAGAAAGCCACGGCUAACUACGUGCCAGCCGCCGCGGUAA